GGAAUCUUGCGCAAUGCGCGAAAGCGUGACGCAGCAACGCCGCGUGGGCGAAGAAGGCCUUCGGGUCGUAAAGCCCUUUCAGCAGGGACGAAGCUUCGGCAGCGAAUAGCUGUCCGGAGUGACGGUACCUGCAGAAGACGCCCCGGCUAACUACCUGCCAGCAGCCGCGGCAAUACGUAGGGGGCUAGCGUUGUCCGGAAUCAUUGGGCGUAAAGCGCGCGUAGGCGGCCAGAUAAGUCCGGUGUGAAAGUCACAGGCUCAACCUGUGAAUGCCGCUGGAAACUGUCUGGCUAGAGUCCGGAAGGGGCGAGUGGAAUUCCUGGUGUAGCGGUGAAAUGCGCAGAUAUCAGGAGGAACACCAAUGGCGAAGGCAGCUCGCUGGGACGGUACUGACGCUGAGGCGCGAAAGCGUGGGGAGCAAA
This 422-nucleotide ribosomal RNA is filed under the name uncultured bacterium. Its description in RNAcentral is "bacterial SSU rRNA". It matches the Rfam family "Bacterial small subunit ribosomal RNA", at positions 358 to 772 of the family's 1533-position model. The record is from RNAcentral.